This 372-nucleotide ribosomal RNA is filed under the name proteobacterium enrichment culture clone E217. Its description in RNAcentral is "bacterial SSU rRNA". It matches the Rfam family "Bacterial small subunit ribosomal RNA", at positions 257 to 646 of the family's 1533-position model. Lineage: Bacteria; Pseudomonadati; Pseudomonadota. The record is from RNAcentral.
GUAAAAGCUCACCAAGGCGACGAUCGAUAGCUGUUCUGAGAGGACGACCAGCCACACUGGGACUGAGACACGGCCCAGACUCCUACGGGAGGCAGCAGUGGGGAAUAUUGGACAAUGGGCGAAAGCCUGAUCCAGCAAUGCCGCGUGAGUGAUGAAGGCCCUAGGGUUGUAAAGCUCUUUUACCCGGGAAGAUAAUGACUGUACCGGGAGAAUAAGCCCCGGCUAACUCCGUGCCAGCAGCCGCGGUAAUACGGAGGGGGCUAGCGUUGUUCGGAAUUACUGGGCGUAAAGCGCACGUAGGCGGCUAUUCAAGUCAGAGGUGAAAGCCCGGAGCUCAACUUCGGAAUUGCCUUUGAAACUAGAUAGCUUGAA